AUUUGGUGGGCCCAUCUCCUCUAGCCAAAUCUGACUCCUCUGAAAGCAACCCAGGAGACAAGGUUUCACUGUGUGAUGGCAAGCAUGAAGGCCCCCAAGCCUCCCUGGGAAGGGCACACCUGGCUGGGCACCCAAGACUGUGAGUGUACGGAUGCCAACAAGCUGAAGCUGGGUGCUGGGGUCCGUCAGGGCCAUGAAUACCAGUGAGCACAGCUGGUCCUUGAAGUCACUCAGAGGCCUUUCAUCUAGGAAGAGACAGAGUCCAGCUGCCAUGGCCCCAUUACCCUGUAGAAUGUUGCUAAGGAAGGAGUCAAGGAGGUCCUCAGCAUCAGCCCUCAGCACAGAGCGAGACAAACACGCAGUCAGGGAGUUAAGGGCUGCCAGGCCCUCGGCCUCUACCCGCUCACUUGCCGUCUGGAACACCUGUCAGGGAGGGAUCCCAUGGCUACUGAGGUGAGCCUGCACCAGGUGAGACCCCACCCACCUACUGCCUAUUUCCUUUGCGGGGAGGGGGUGGUGAGAACCUUUGGGGCACAGCAAUGGAAAUUAACCCCCCAAAUGAGUUUCUUCUCAAUUGGUGUAUUCUCACUAAGUCCUCAGUCCCACUAGGAUUGAUACACAUACUUUUUGAGAAACUGAAUACAACUUUGAGCAGUGGUUGUUGGGAACCCCUUUCCUAAGUCUCUUCCUCUCCCGCUCUACUCAGCAUGACCUAUGCUCCUUACCAUGGAAGGACAGGAAUUGGGCACUGUGCGAGACUGAUCAUGUGCCACGACCAAACAGCUGACCCUACCUUGUCAUUCAACUAGAAGUAUGCCCCCUUGCUCUCUUGCUGAAUAACCAAGCACAGCAACAGAGGGAAAAGGAUACGGUGUGUUAUUUCCCCUCGUGCCUGACAACCAGGAGUUAAUGGUAGUGAGUUUAUCUAAGUAACACUCACCUCUCUGCGGAUAGAAGCCCAAAGGCUGGGGAGGAAGUCCUUUAGUUCUUUCUGUCCGUACACAGCACAGCAAGCAUUCUGCCAAGGAAAGCACAGGUAAUGGCUAUCUACACACUCAGACUUCCUAGGACGUGCAGGCCCCUCAGCAUAAUGGCACCUGAAAGACCCCGGCUCUCAGCAGUAAACCAGCAGGAUUUCAUAACCAUCCUACCCAGGUCACUGAAAAAUAGGAGCUUGUCCUGACUGAUGGAAAACAAGCAUGAAGAGGGAGCCCUGGUCAGCCUUUCCUCAGCUGCCACUCAGUUACUACAGAACAAGACAAAAUGCAACUGGGGGCUUUAGGUCAACAUAUAGGCCCGGAUUCUGGGUAUCCCUCUCUUGAGGCCAAUGAACUAUUCCCUGGCUCUCCAAGAAUCAAUUCAUAAUCCUUUAGCACCCCUAAAUUGUCUAAAGACAGCUGGAUCCUCAAAAGAGAACAAUCACUCACCAGAGUCUGCAGAGAAUCCAGCUUGGCACUCAGAAUCUCGGAAUCCACUUUCUCAAUCAGCAGGGGGAGCAGGAACUGUGGGAGAGAAGGAAGAACUAAAGAGUGAGAUAUGGGUAGUGCUGCAGCCACACCAAGGCCAACCAUGUCCUCACUGCCACCAGUUCCCAGGGGUAGGUGUUACAUCAAGGAGCUAUACUCGAGUCGAGAGUAGUGACUGUAAACCAACCUCCCUCUCAAUCCAUGGCCAGACUCCCAGUGACCUGAGAAGUGGGCUAGCUGGCAAAGCUAAAGAAUUUCAAAAGAUAGCACCAAAUAGGGAUUGGUUUACUAUUUUAAAUGAAGAGAUGGUGAAGUUUUUUACUUCGAAGGUCUGAAGACACUUGCAAGAUGCCAUAACCUAAAAUGUAUACUGGAACUUUCUUUUCCCCCAUGCUUUUACUGUUCUUUCUUCAGACCCUUCUGUG
Aethalodelphis obliquidens (Pacific white-sided dolphin) is the source of this 1891-nucleotide long non-coding RNA. RefSeq lists it as uncharacterized. The transcript is spliced from 3 exons. Lineage: Eukaryota; Metazoa; Chordata; Mammalia; Artiodactyla; Delphinidae. The record is from RefSeq and is a predicted model, not a curated record.